This 68-nucleotide transfer RNA is filed under the name Schistosoma haematobium. It matches the Rfam family "tRNA". Rfam says of the family: Transfer RNA (tRNA) molecules are approximately 80 nucleotides in length. Their secondary structure includes four short double-helical elements and three loops (D, anti-codon, and T loops). Further hydrogen bonds mediate the characteristic L-shaped molecular structure. tRNAs have two regions of fundamental functional importance: the anti-codon, which is responsible for specific mRNA codon recognition, and the 3' end, to which the tRNAs corresponding amino acid is attached (by aminoacyl-tRNA synthetases). tRNAs cope with the degeneracy of the genetic code in two manners: having more than one tRNA (with a specific anti-codon) for a particular amino acid; and 'wobble' base-pairing, i.e. permitting non-standard base-pairing at the 3rd anti-codon position. The record is from Rfam by way of RNAcentral. Lineage: Eukaryota; Metazoa; Platyhelminthes; Trematoda; Strigeidida; Schistosomatidae.
UCAGUAGCUAAGUGGAUAAAGCGAUGGCGUUUAAAGCAAACGACACUGGGUUCGAGUCCCAGAUUGAA